Molecule: ribosomal RNA, 485 nt
Filed under: Zobellella taiwanensis
Lineage: Bacteria; Pseudomonadati; Pseudomonadota; Gammaproteobacteria; Aeromonadales; Aeromonadaceae
Description: bacterial LSU rRNA
Rfam family: Bacterial large subunit ribosomal RNA
Source: RNAcentral
GUUGUAUGGUUAAGUGACUAAGCGUACACGGUGGAUGCCUUGGCAGUCAGAGGCGAUGAAGGACGUGCUAACCUGCGUUAAGCACGGGUGAGCUGGUAAGAAGCGCUUGAGCCCGUGAUGUCCGAAUGGGGAAACCCACUGCACUCAGUGCAGUAUCGUUGCGUGAAUACAUAGCGCAACGAGGCGAACCGGGAGAACUGAAACAUCUAAGUACCCCGAGGAACAGAAAUCAACCGAGAUUCCGUUAGUAGCGGCGAGCGAACGCGGACCAGCCCUUAAGCAGCUUGGGUGGUAGUGGAACGGCCCUGGAAAGGCCGGCCAUAGUGGGUGAUAGCCCCGUACACCAAACCACCCUCGUUGUGAAAUCGAGUAGGACGGGACACGUGAUAUCCUGUCUGAACAUGGGGGGACCAUCCUCCAAGGCUAAAUACUCCUGACUGACCGAUAGUGAACCAGUACCGUGAGGGAAAGGCGAAAAGAACCCC